GCUGUCUUGAGGGGACUCGGGAGGGGGCGUUGGGAAACUGCGCAUGUCCCUCUGGACUGUGGAGUCCAGGGUAGUGGCGUCGGGGAGACGCCCCCGCGAGGGUCCCUGAAGAACUGUAGUCACCAAGGAGGCUUGGACCAGUGCGCCAAGUGGACGACCGUCCCCCAAUGUGGUGGACACCGCUGGGUGCAUGCCCUGUUGCCGCCCUUUUCUGCUGCCCACGCUGGUGUCCACCAGCUUAGGGCUUCCGAGGUCGGCACCCACAGGCCCGGCCCGCGCCCGGGUGGGCAAGGUGCCCAGAGGGACUGCAGAUCUAGGGGCUGGCUGGCCCUGGACAGGAAGACCCGCAGCAGGAUGGCCACCAACUUCCCAGGACACUGAAAGAAGCAGACGUCCAGGAGUUGGGCACUUUGGAAGGCAGAGGUAGGCUGACCAGGAACUGAGCCCCUGGUGAUAUUUAGCCUGUCUCCCCCUUCUCCCUGCCCACUGCUCCCCAGCUGGCCAGGACCCUGAAAAGGUGGUCUGGGGCUACACCCUCCCUGAGUGCCCAGGCAGUCUGGACUCAGACAGGGCCAGGGCACACAGUAGGCAGGAGGCAUCCAACAAAUAUGGCAGGAGCCCCAACCUCUAAAGAGCUGUGGGCUGCGACUGGCUGAGGCCCUACCCAGGCUGGGCCCACCUGCCUCCAUUUCUCCCAGGCACCAUCCAGGGUCUGGACAAGGGCUCCCUUUCCCACCAAUGACUGUGAGUCCCACAUGCCCACACCGUCCUGAGAGCAAGAGCUUUUAGGUGACCCGAUCCCUGCACCUACCACCUUUUAUCCCCCUCACUGUCACGAGGCAGCCCUUGCCUGACCUGCAAGCAUAGCUGGCCAACUCUGUUGCAAGCCCACCACCAACCCCUCCCCAAGGGAAGGAUUGUCAAUACCAGGAAUUGAUUAAUGUCCCUAAAGAAUUGCUUCUGCCACCAGUCACAACCACCCAGGACUCUAUCCUCUGCACAGCAUUGCUGGGCCUGGCACCUGGAGAAAUGCUUCUGGCAGCCCCUAAGGGACAGCCAUGCCCCCAUUCUACAGACAAGGAAGCUACCACUGAGGCCCAUAGAAACCUGCUCCACCGCCUCCUAUCCCAGGGCUCCCCAACACCUCAUCCAUCCACACCUUCCCCAGCAGCCUGCUCUCUGGUAUCCACAGUCUUUCAGGGCCCUUCUCUGCUGGUGUCUCCACCAUGCCACCCUCCUCUGGGUGUGUCUGGUCAGUUGCCCACUUCAUGUGUCCACCAUGCUGCCCCUGGAAGCCCCCCAGGUCACCUCUAAUGUCACAUCUCCCGUACACUGCUCACCCUUGCUGCCCACCCUCAUCCUACAUGGCUCCCAGGCAGGGCUAGAAGUCCCAGCUUGGGCUUUCUUUGACCCACCAGCCAACGUCCCACCCAGGAGCCCACCAGUGGUACCAGCCUCUCCCAGGGCUCAGCAUAGCACCCAGUGCCCAGGAUUUUGUAGGAAAGGGGAACAGUGAGAGAUAAGGGCCACUAGAAGCAUCUCAGCCUGCCAAGGGCCCAGGCCACCUCCUAGGGUCACCAUACCUAGGGUCAGGCUAGGCAGGGGUUGGGGCUGUAGGUGAAGACAGCACACCACAGAAAUUGCACUUCUGAACCCACACUGGCCCCACUAGGGUCCUGGAGGCAGGUGUCACACUCAUCUCAGUCCAGCCAGGAUGGCGGAUGGCCCCAGGCCCCAGAGUGCUGGGCACAGGAGAUGCCCCUGCAGCCCUUCCCCUCCCCUGUUUAGCUUCAGAGGCUUAGAGGAGACAGAGUGGGUGGCCUUCAUGGCACAGCAGAGUCUCUGUGGGGUUUGGGAGUCCUGGGUGGCCUGGACAUUGGCCUUCAGGCUGCCACCCCUCUCCCAGAAAGGGGCCCCCAACGCUUGCCUUGGUUCUGCAGAGCUGUUGCUGCGGCCAGGCCAGGCUCCUGGGGUUGUGUCCAUGUCUAUCCUCCUCCUGGCCCAUGGUGGCAGGUGUCCCCAGGCCCUGGUACCAGAACAGGGUCCUCGGGCCUCCGGCUCCUCGGGGCCCCCGCCCUGCAGGAACAGGAAGGGAGUCAGAAAGCCUGGAGGAAAUUCAACAGCCCUCUAUGGUGGGUUAUGGCUGUGGGCACGGACAGGAGAUUGUCUGAGCUGGGUGGGCAUGGGGGCAGAUCAGGGGAGGAAGCUCUGGGAAAACUCUGAACGAGGGAGGUAGGGAGGGCAGCCCUGGGACCUGCAAUGGAGCAGUGAUGACCUGGCAGGGGGACUGCAUCAGCCACCCAGAGCUGAGAGGAGACACAACUGCAGGAGCCUCACUUCUGAACAGCUGAACUCCAUGGCGGAGCACCCCCUUUGCCUUCCAGAGGUCCGCUAAAAUGAACCCCCCUUCCCUGGGAGCAGAAGUUUGCCACUAGAGGCUUUGAUUUGAUUAACUGAAGAUGACAUUUUUUCAGGCUUUCCAGGAACUACACGAAACACUUAGGAGUAGAAAUGACAUUAUUUUCUGCGAUUUAGACAGACAGGGAAUACUGUGAAAUAAAGUGAGCUUUGAAGCCUUACAGGUGUUCGUGCACUUGGCUGAGGAAGACAGCUUCUAAAAAGGGUUCCAAAGUCAUCACCCAGAUGCACCAAGAAGGCUGAGGGGCACAGCUGGGACAUCUUCCUGCACUGCCUUUCUGGAGGCCUCUGACCCCAGGGAUGUAUUCAGGGGUCCAGAAGAUGGUCAGAGGUCCGUGUGUGACCCUCCAUGAAUGGGCCCUGGCCAUGGGCUGUGGGACCCACCGCCAGGUCAAGUGUCUCAGACAUCAGCAGAAGGAAGGGCUGCCGGCCUCCCCCGAUCCCAGCGCCAUUUUCCCAGGAAUGGUGAUGUCUGAGUGGACGGGCCACGUGCCUGAGGGGCCUGGCCAGACUUCUGGAAGCAGCAGGUGAAGUCCCUCCUUCCCAGGUGGUCGUGGGUCACUUCCCCCUCUGGUCUCGGGCAUACCUCCCCUCCUGCCAUACUGACUCUCCCCCUGGGGGGACUUUCCCCUUUGUCCUCGCUGUUCCCUCACCUGAAAUGCCCUUCCCCACCCGGACCACUCCGUCCCCAAAGGUUUCUCCCAGUGCUGGGAGCUCUUGUGCCCCUCUGCAGGUUUUCUUUUCCCCUCCACCUGAUACACCUCAUUCAGUCCCGCCCCCUCCCGCCACAAGCCUGCACAGGCCCAGGGACCAGGGGCAAGCCCUGGAGCUGGGAGCUAGGAGACUUCAGGAUGGGAGGCAGGCCAGCUGCCCUCACCCACAGCCCACUCCCUCCAGGUCAGCCUCCGGGAGCUCCUGGCCCCUCCGCCACCCGCCCUGCACUUCGCUGUCCUACGAUGUCUCUUUCCGCUGCCUAGGAGCCCUGCGGCUGCUGCGGCCAAGUUAUAAGUAUGUGAUUAUGUAUGCUGGGGUCCCCCGAGCCCCUUUGUUGCUGCAGAAUCUGUCCUGGCAAACAAAAGUGCACUGGAUUAGCCACAGUGGAUUAAAAGAUUUGCUUCUCAGAGUUUACCUAAUAACCUAACAAUUGUGCCGACGGAGGCUUUGAACCUCUGGACACGCUCGCCGGGCCAUCUGGGAGCUCUUGGCCUCUGCGGGCGGCGGGAUGGUGGUUGGGAUGAUUAGGGGCAGCCACUGCCGGCCCUCACACCUGGCUCUGCUGAGGCUGUGCGUACGCUCUUGGCUCCUGCAAGACCCAUCUGGGCUGAACUUGGGGACCGGACCAGACUCCAGGAGAAGAAGGUGGAAGCCCCGGUGGGGCAAGGCCCAGCCAGGACCGCCUUCUAGAGGGUCCACUGCCUGAGGCCAGGUGUGGGUGGUACGGACCAGGCCUCGUCUGCACCCAGCCUGAUCCCCCAGGCACGUCCACACGUCCGUAUGGCAGCGAGGACAGAGGCAACAUGGAGGGUAGCCAUGGCGGGCAGGUGGCACGCUGGGCUUCGCCACGCCGCGGCACACGGCCCCACUGCCAUUGCCCCACCGUGCACGUACACACACACACACACACACACACACACACACAAGCGUGUCCCUCUUUGAUCUCCAAAGGACACUCCAUUUACAAGCUCUUAAUCGCAGCUGUCUUUU
This is a long non-coding RNA of Rhinolophus ferrumequinum (greater horseshoe bat), 4122 nucleotides long. RefSeq lists it as uncharacterized. NCBI's taxonomy places the organism in Eukaryota, Metazoa, Chordata, Mammalia, Chiroptera, Rhinolophidae. The record is from RefSeq and is a predicted model, not a curated record. The transcript has 3 exons.